UACGUAGGGGGCUAGCGUUGUCCGGAUUUAUUGGGCGUAAAGAGCGUGUAGGCGGCUUGGAAGGUCAGCUGUGAAAACUCGAGGCUCAACCUCGAGACGUCGGUUGAAACCACCUGGCUAGAGUCCGGAAGAGGAGAGUGGAAUUCCCGGUGUAGCGGUGAAAUGCGCAGAUAUCGGGAAGAACACCCGUGGCGAAGGCGGCUCUCUGGGACGGUACUGACGCUGAGACGCGAAAGCGUGGGGAGCGAACAGG
RNAcentral lists this ribosomal RNA (253 nucleotides) under uncultured bacterium. RNAcentral describes it as "partial 16S ribosomal RNA". It matches the Rfam family "Bacterial small subunit ribosomal RNA", at positions 524 to 776 of the family's 1533-position model. The record is from RNAcentral.